GGCAAGUCGACCUAAAAAAGUGUUUUUUAUUUUUUUACAUUCCAUCGAUAUAAACAUGAAAUAUCACAUAUAUAUAUCACAUCCAUCACCAUAUAUAUCACAAAUAUCACAUCCAUCACCAUACAUAUCACAUCCAUCACCAUAUAUAUCACAUAUAUCACAACAAUUCGAUCCAUUACUCCGAACAAGUCUAUCACAAUUGUUCAAAUAACACAAGUGCAUGACAGCAAGUUAAUCUCAAAUCCAUGUGCAACACUAAGUGAACAAGACAUGAAAAUACAAGUGCGACUCACUGAGGAGGCCAUUGGCCCCAUGCUCUUGACUAAAGAGUGCCAUGAAGUGGAAUAUUCGAACCCGCUAACGGAGGUUGCACAAAGAGAAGAGAUUACAUGUGAGACAAGAUUACUUAAAUAGCUAAUCUACGAAUUACUUGCAUGUGUGAGAUUUACUCACAUGAGUAGCAUUUGUAUGAGGGGGAGGUAGAGGUGGCGCCAUUAGCCUAGGUGGCACAGGUACACCCGUAUGGGGCCCAAGAGCCUGCAUGAACUGAAGCAUGUCCGCAAAGCCUCUUCUCUUAAGACUCCCGCUCGGCCUCUCACUGGGCCCGCUCGGCCUCCAUCUGCAA
Molecule: long non-coding RNA, 625 nt
Filed under: Sorghum bicolor (sorghum)
Lineage: Eukaryota; Viridiplantae; Streptophyta; Magnoliopsida; Poales; Poaceae
Description: long non-coding RNA (SBIC_LNC006171)
Source: RNAcentral